Molecule: ribosomal RNA, 253 nt
Filed under: uncultured bacterium
Lineage: Bacteria
Description: partial 16S ribosomal RNA
Rfam family: Bacterial small subunit ribosomal RNA
Source: RNAcentral
UACGGAGGAUUCAAGCGUUAUCCGGAUUUACUGGGUGUAAAGGGAGCGUAGACGGCAGCGCAAGUCUGGAGUGAAAUCCCAUGGCUUAACCAUGGAACUGCUUUGGAAACUGUGCAGCUGGAGUGCAGGAGAGGUAAGCGGAAUUCCUAGUGUAGCGGUGAAAUGCGUAGAUAUCACGCAGAACCCCGAUUGCGAAGGCAGCAUACCGGUGCACAACUGACGCUCAGGCACGAAAGCGUGGGUAUCGAACAGG